RNAcentral lists this ribosomal RNA (1649 nucleotides) under Janusya adusta. RNAcentral describes it as "partial 28S ribosomal RNA". It matches the Rfam family "Eukaryotic large subunit ribosomal RNA", at positions 593 to 1873 of the family's 3401-position model. The record is from RNAcentral. Lineage: Eukaryota; Metazoa; Porifera; Calcarea; Clathrinida; Clathrinidae.
GCUAGCAAUGUGCCGCGGUGGUUCAGCCGGUUUGGCGGUGGAGCUCGCGUCUGUCGGAUCCGAAUGGACCGCAGCCGCGCGGCCGUCCGCUGUCGGACUGCGGUGCACUCUACCGUGGCACGCGUCAGCGUCGGUUGGCAGCCGGCGACAAGGCCAGCAGGAAGGUAGCUCGGAGCUUUGCUCCGAGUAUUAUAGCCCGCUGAGCUGGGUCUGCUGCCGACCGAGGAGAGAGAUGAUCGCUGCAGCGCAUGCCGCAAGGCUAGCUGCCCGCUGUUCGGUGUGCUGCACGAGCUGAGGACUGCACGCAGUGUUCGGUUCGGCGCGGUGGCCGGACGGUGGAGUGGUAUAAAUGCGCUUCGGACGCUGGCGUCCAAAUGGCCGUGCGCGACCCGUCUUGAAACACGGACCAAGGAGUCUAACAUGUGCGCGAGUCUUUGGGUGUGGAAACCCGUGGGCGCAAUGAAAGUGAAGGCCGCCUUGCGCGGCUGAGGUGAGAGCCGUACUCCGUGCGGUGCAUCAUCGACCGGUCUGAUCUUCUCUAAGGUGGAUCCGAGUAAGAGCGUAUUUGUUGGGACCCGAAAGAUGGUGAACUAUGCCUGAAUAGGGUGAAGCCAGAGGAAACUCUGGUGGAGGCUCGUAGCGAUUCUGACGUGCAAAUCGAUCGUCAAAUUUGGGUAUAGGGGCGAAAGACUAAUCGAACCAUCUAGUAGCUGGUUCCCUCCGAAGUUUCCCUCAGGAUAGCUGGAACUCGAGACACAGUUUUAUCAGGUAAAGCGAAUGAUUAGAGGUCUUGGGGGUGAAACACCCUCAACCUAUUCUCAAACUUUAAAUAGGUAAGAAGCGUGACUUGCUUGAUUGAAGCCACGCACUUAAUGUGAGUUCCAAGUGGGCCAUUUUUGGUAAGCAGAACUGGCGAUGCGGGAUGAACCGAACGCUCGGUUAAGGUGCCCAAGUCGACGCUCAUCAGACCCCAGAAAAGGUGUUGGUUGAUAUAGACAGCAGGACGGUGGCCAUGGAAGUCGGAAUCCGCUAAGGAGUGUGUAACAACUCACCUGCCGAAUCAACUAGCCCUGAAAAUGGAUGGCGCUAAAGCGUCGCACCUAUACCGGGCCGUUGCCGUAAAUGCCAAGCGGCAACGAGUAGGAGGGCGCGGAGGUCGUGACGCAGCCUUUGGCGCGAGCCUGGGUCAAACGGCCUCUGGUGCAGAUCUUGGUGGUAGUAGCAAAUAUUCAAAUGAGAGCUUUGAAGACCGAAGUGGAGAAAGGUUCCAUGUGAACAGCAGUUGGACAUGGGUUAGUCGACCCUAAGAGAUAGGGAAGUUCCGUUCUGAAGGCGCAAUCCUGCGCCGCCUAUCGAAAGGGAAUCGGGUUAAUAUUCCCGAACCAGAACGCGGAUAUAUCGGCUUUCGGGUCAGGAGCGGCAACGCAACCGAACUGGGAGACGUUGGCGGGAGCUCCGGGAAGAGUUUUCUUUUCUUUUUAACGGACCAUCACCCUGGAAUCGGUUUGCCCGGAGAUAGGGUUUACUGGUCCGGUAAAGCAGCACACUUCUUGUGCUGUCCGGUGCGCUCCCGACGGCCCUUGAAAAUCCCAGGGAGUGAUUAAUUUUCGUGUCUGGUCGUACUCAUAACCGCAGCAGGUCUCCAAGGU